ACUCAAAUGAAUUGACGGGGGCCCGCACAAGCGGUGGAGCAUGUGGUUUAAUUCGACGCAACGCGAAGAACCUUACCUGGGUUUGACAUGUUAGUGGUAGGAAACUGAAAGGGGACCGACCUAUAGCAAUAUAGGAGCUAAUACAGGUGCUGCAUGGCUGUCGUCAGCUCGUGCCGUGAGGUGUUGGGUUAAGUCCCGCAACGAGCGCAACCCUUAUCCUCUGUUACUCCGCAAGGAGGUCUCUGAGGAAACUGCCGGCGAUGAGCUGGAGGAAGGUGGGGACGACGUCAAGUCAUCAUGGCCCUUAUAUCCAGGGCUACACACGUGCUACAAUGGGUACUACAGAGGGUUGCAAGACCGUGAGGUGGAGCCAAUCCCCAAAAGUAUUCGUAGUUGGGAUCGGAGUCUGCAACUCGACUCCGUGAACCUGGAAUCGCUAGUAAUCGCGGAUCAGAACGCCGCGGUGAAUACGUUCCCGGGCCUUGUACACACCGCCCGU
Molecule: ribosomal RNA, 499 nt
Filed under: uncultured bacterium
Lineage: Bacteria
Description: partial 16S ribosomal RNA
Rfam family: Bacterial small subunit ribosomal RNA
Source: RNAcentral